Molecule: ribosomal RNA, 465 nt
Filed under: Vreelandella stevensii
Lineage: Bacteria; Pseudomonadati; Pseudomonadota; Gammaproteobacteria; Oceanospirillales; Halomonadaceae
Description: partial 16S ribosomal RNA
Rfam family: Bacterial small subunit ribosomal RNA
Source: RNAcentral
CCUACAGGAGGCAGCAGUGGGGAAUAUUGGACAAUGGGGGGAACCCUGAUCCAGCCAUGCCGCGUGUGUGAAGAAGGCCCUCGGGUUGUAAAGCACUUUCAGUGAGGAAGAACGCCUGGUGGUUAAUACCCAUCAGGAAAGACAUCACUCACAGAAGAAGCACCGGCUAACUCCGUGCCAGCAGCCGCGGUAAUACGGAGGGUGCGAGCGUUAAUCGGAAUUACUGGGCGUAAAGCGCGCGUAGGUGGCUUGAUAAGCCGGUUGUGAAAGCCCCGGGCUCAACCUGGGAACGGCAUCCGGAACUGUCAAGCUAGAGUGCAGGAGAGGAAGGUAGAAUUCCCGGUGUAGCGGUGAAAUGCGUAGAGAUCGGGAGGAAUACCAGUGGCGAAGGCGGCCUUCUGGACUGACACUGACACUGAGGUGCGAAAGCGUGGGUAGCAAACAGGAUUAGAUACCCUGGUAGUC